This 815-nucleotide ribosomal RNA is filed under the name Xylariaceae sp. OTU2. Its description in RNAcentral is "eukaryotic LSU rRNA". It matches the Rfam family "Eukaryotic large subunit ribosomal RNA", at positions 87 to 929 of the family's 3401-position model. Lineage: Eukaryota; Fungi; Ascomycota; Sordariomycetes; Xylariales; Xylariaceae. The record is from RNAcentral.
CGGCGAGUGAAGCGGCAACAGCUCAAAUUUGAAAUCUGGCCUUCGGGUCCGAGUUGUAAUUUGUAGAGGAUGCUUUUGGCGCGGUGCCUUCCGAGUUCCCUGGAACGGGACGCCUUAGAGGGUGAGAGCCCCGUACGGUUGGACACCAAGCCUCUGUAAAGCUCCUUCAACGAGUCGAGUAGUUUGGGAAUGCUGCUCUAAAUGGGAGGUAAAUUUCUUCUAAAGCUAAAUAUUGGCCAGAGACCGAUAGCGCACAAGUAGAGUGAUCGAAAGAUGAAAAGCACUUUGAAAAGAGGGUUAAAUAGCACGUGAAAUUGUUGAAAGGGAAGCGUUUGCGACCAGACCUUUUCCUGGCGGAUCAUCCGGUGUUCUCACCGGUGCACUUCGCCAGGUUUAGGCCAGCAUCGGUUCUCGCAGGGGGAUAAAAGAUUGGGGAACGUGGCUCCUUUUGGAGUGUUAUAGACCCUUUCAUAAUACCCUUGUGGGGACCGAGGACCGCGCUUCGGCAAGGAUGCUGGCGUAAUGGUCGUCAACGACCCGUCUUGAAACACGGACCAAGGAGUCGAACAGUUGUGCGAGUGUUUGGGUGUUAAACCCUCACGCGUAAUGAAAGUGAACGGAGGUGAGAGCCCGCAAGGGCGCAUCAUCGACCGAUCCUGAUGUCUUCGGAUGGAUUUGAGUAAGAGCAUCACUGUUCGGACCCGAAAGAUGGUGAACUAUGCGUGGAUAGGGUGAAGCCAGAGGAAACUCUGGUGGAGGCUCGCAGCGGUUCUGACGUGCAAAUCGAUCGUCAAAUCUGCGCAUGGGGGCGAAAG